CCUACGGGAGGCUGCAGUGAGGAAUAUUGGUCAAUGGACGGAAGUCUGAACCAGCCAUGCCGCGUGCAGGAAGACGGCUCUAUGAGUUGUAAACUGCUUUUGUACAAGGGUAAACCUGAAUACGUGUAUUCAGCUGAAAGUACUGUACGAAUAAGGAUCGGCUAACUCCGUGCCAGCAGCCGCGGUAAUACGGAGGAUCCAAGCGUUAUCCGGAUUUAUUGGGUUUAAAGGGUGCGUAGGCGGAUUGAUAAGUUAGAGGUGAAAUGUCCGAGCUUAACUCGGGAACUGCCUCUAAUACUGUUGAUCUAGAGAGUAGAUGCGGUAGGCGGAAUGUAUGGUGUAGCGGUGAAAGGCUUAGAGAUCAUACAGAACACCGAUUGCGAAGGCAGCUUACCAAUCUAUAUCUGACGUUGAGGCACGAAAGCGUGGGGAGCAAACAGGAUUAGAUACCCCAGUAGUC
RNAcentral lists this ribosomal RNA (460 nucleotides) under uncultured bacterium. RNAcentral describes it as "partial 16S ribosomal RNA". It matches the Rfam family "Bacterial small subunit ribosomal RNA", at positions 338 to 795 of the family's 1533-position model. The record is from RNAcentral.